CCCAGACUCCUACGGGAGGCAGCAGUGAGGCCUCUUUGUCAAUGGCCGCUCGGCUGAACCAGCCCAGUCGCGUUCGUGCAGACGGCCCUCCGGGUUGUAACCCUCUUUUGUCGGGGCGCACAGCGAGUCCCGUGUGACUCAUUGAGAGUACCCGAAGAAAAAGCAUCGGCUACCUCCGUGCCAGCAGCCGCGGUAAUACGGAGGAUGCGAGCGUUAUCCGGAUUUAUUGGGUUUAAAGGGUGCGCAGGCGGAGGUGCAAGUCAGCGGUCAAAUUGCGGGGCUCAACCCCGUACUGCCGUUGAAACUGCAUCCCUUGAGUGCGCGAGAAGUAUGCGGAAUGCGUGGUGUAGCGGUGAAAUGCAUAGAUAUCACGCAGAACUCCGAUUGCGGAGGCAGCAUACCGGCACGCAACUGACGCUCAUGCACGAAAGCGUGGGUAUCGAACAGGAUUAGAUACCCUAGUAU
RNAcentral lists this ribosomal RNA (465 nucleotides) under uncultured bacterium. RNAcentral's name for it is "bacterial SSU rRNA". It matches the Rfam family "Bacterial small subunit ribosomal RNA", at positions 330 to 793 of the family's 1533-position model. The record is from RNAcentral.